Anopheles gambiae (African malaria mosquito) is the source of this 135-nucleotide non-coding RNA. The record is from Rfam. NCBI's taxonomy places the organism in Eukaryota, Metazoa, Arthropoda, Insecta, Diptera, Culicidae.
CCUUCGAUAGCUCAGUUGGUAGAGCGGUGGACUGUAGAAAGUUUAAGUAGUUGGUCAACUUAGAAAUGUGCAUCUGACGAUCACCUGCAUCCAAUAGAAAUCCAUAGGUCACUGGUUCAAAUCCGGUUCGAAGGA